CCCACCCUUGUGUAUAUUAUAUUGUUGCUUUAGCAGGUCGCCCUCUGGGCGUCGGCCUCGGCUGACUGUGCCUGCUAGAGGACCCUAAAUUUUGAAAUACAGUGUCGUCUGAGUACUAUUUAAUAGUUAAAACUUUCAACAACGGAUCUCUUGGUUCUGGCAUCGAUGAAGAACGCAGCGAAAUGCGAUAAGUAAUGUGAAUUGCAGAAUUCAGUGAAUCAUCGAAUCUUUGAACGCACAUUGCGCCCCUUGGUAUUCCGGGGGGCAUGCCUGUUCGAGCGUCAUUUAGACCAACUCCCGCUCCGGCGGGGUCUUGGGCUGCGCCUUUGGGCGGGCCUUAAAACCAGUGGCGGUGCCCUAAGGCUCUACGCGUAGUAAUUCUUCUCGCGAUAGGGUCCUUGCGGUGUCUUGCCAGCAACCCCCAACUCUCUAGGGUUGACCUCGGAUCAGGUAGGGAUACCCGCUGAACUUAAGCAUAUCAAUAAGCGGAGGAA
RNAcentral lists this ribosomal RNA (494 nucleotides) under Hymenoscyphus fraxineus. Its description in RNAcentral is "eukaryotic LSU rRNA". The stretch from base 131 to 284 matches the Rfam family "5.8S ribosomal RNA". Lineage: Eukaryota; Fungi; Ascomycota; Leotiomycetes; Helotiales; Helotiaceae. The record is from RNAcentral.